Long non-coding RNA from Macrobrachium nipponense, 366 nucleotides. RefSeq lists it as uncharacterized. The record is from RefSeq and is a predicted model, not a curated record. The transcript is spliced from 2 exons. NCBI's taxonomy places the organism in Eukaryota, Metazoa, Arthropoda, Malacostraca, Decapoda, Palaemonidae.
AGGGUACCAGGUGUGCCCGGGCAUGUGUCGUGAUGAAUGCCAUCCUGACGAGGUGAUGCGGGGAAGAUGCAACCCUGACUUCGUCUGCCUCUGCUGCGUUAAGAACUUAAUGUGAUUGGCCUGCGCGAACCGGCAUGAGUUAUGGAGGAAUAUGUAAGAUGGUGACGAACCUCUCUCUCUCUCUCAUUACACGAAAUAGUCAUGUUUUUUUGCAUUAUGAUCUUAUUGCUCUUGUCCAAGCACUCAAAACUGAAUGCACUCACGCUAAAUAAUCACAAAUUCACUUUUCUCUCUUUGUUGAUGUUAUUUAUAAAAGGUGAGUUUUGACCUUUUGAGAACUAUUGAAAUAAAAACUCUUUCUUUCAA